AUCUUCCAUCAUGUCAAGGUAUGUGCUCCAAAAUGCAAAUGUGUGGUUACAGUUGUUUUUCACCACAAAUUCUUCAUAACCUUGCAGUAACUGCUGAAAUGUGUCUGAUGUUAGCAUGCCCUUGAACUCUUCAGAGGGAAAACACUCCUGCAGAUCUGUUGCCACUUUUAAAGCAACUGCAUUUUGUUCUUGUGUGAGUGUGUCCAAGUAUGCCCACCAUCGCAGUUUCUGGAGUGCUUCCAUCAGGAGUUUGUGAGCCCGUAUGCUCCUGUUGUAGUGAUGGCCGGAGAUCACUCCAUUGAUUGAGCCUGUGGCCACCAGGUCAGACUCAAUCAAGAUGUCCUGAAAGCCUGCAUCACCAUACAACUUUCCUAUGCAUGACAGAUACGCCAUUGCUGUGUGGAAUUCUCCCAUCCUCACUACGAUUCUCUCAGACUGUCAGCAAUGGCAAUGGAGCGGCUCAGGAUGGUGUGGACAGUGUUGAGAUCAGUCGGACUGGCGUCAAUCACUGGGAGGUAGCCAAUAUGUGUAGAUGGUGGUAGUACUGUGUCUUCCUUCAACAUUAUAUUAUACCCUGUCCAUCCAGAAAGGAUUUUGUGCUGGGCCUCAGGUACUUUCAGUAAAAAGAAUGCAGCAUCAAUUCUUCUACCGGUAGUUUGGGCAUAUCUGUAUUGGUCCUGAUGGAGAUCAAUCUUCAAUGCAAAGUUCUGUGGACCAGACCGCUUUCCUCUUGUGUAUGUUGAAAGAUUCAGUGGAGGAGGAUGAACCGACCGCUCUCGUGUUCUCUGUCUGGGUAAUGUGUCUGAUGAGCAAGGGCAGUAUCAUGCUCAAGGACCUGGGAAUUAGAUGAGCAGUGACCCAGACCAUUUAACAGCCCUAUAAGCUGUGCAGAGCCAGUCAUAUGCCGAACUGCCAUUGCAAGUGAGCACUGUUUAGGCAUGAGCCACCUUCCUCUGGUUGCCAGGGUAAUAAUGUCCUGACAAGUGGACACUAUCUUUCUGUUGUCCCCUGAAGUGACAUCAACACGUUCAUCUGACGGUUGUGAUGACAUUCCUGAUAUCCAUGCAAUGAAGUUAAAAAGUUGAUGAGGAGGAAGCAGAGGAGAAGGCAACUUCAUGCACAAUCUCGUCAGCUGACAGAUUGUCCACAUAUACAAGAUACCGGGUAUAAUCUCGAUAGCAAGUGAAGUGAUACCGUGCUUCACUAGCCACCAAGUCCCUGUCUUGGAUCUGGAGAAGGAGAGACUCGUCCCUUUUCUCUUCAGCGGCGAGUAGCAAUUUCCCGGCAUGGAGUGUUUCACACUGUUAGCUUUUCUUUUACCCUUUUCCUGCUGUGUGACUGAACCUUGUACUUCUCAUGUUUGCAUAUAAUGCAUUGUACUGGAAGCAGGUGUGGGGCCCGCUUGGACGUGCAGGAAUCACAGGCGUAAGAUCUCAGAGCCCGUGUUUUAACUGGAGUUGCCUCCCCAUCCUCUGCCUCUACCACUAAAAGUGCAAAACAAUUGAUUUAGGUUCUGCACCCUUCCCCACAUCACCUAUUAAAGAAAAAUGGUUUGUAACUUUCAGCAGGGUAUAUUGGUUCCACCUGUUCCCUUAACACGGGUAAUAAACCUGUUUCACAGCUUUCAGGUGUCCGUCCUUGAUGUUAAUGAGGCCAUAAUAGGAAGGGUUAAUUUUUGCAGGGU
Long non-coding RNA from Carassius auratus (goldfish), 1684 nucleotides. RefSeq lists it as uncharacterized. The transcript has 5 exons. NCBI's taxonomy places the organism in Eukaryota, Metazoa, Chordata, Actinopteri, Cypriniformes, Cyprinidae. The record is from RefSeq and is a predicted model, not a curated record.